GAUGAACGCUGGCGGUAUGCUUAACACAUGCAAGUCGAACGGUCACUUCGGUGAUAGUGGCGGACGGGUGAGUAACGCGUGAGAAUCUGUCUUCAGGUCGGGGACAACAGUUAGAAAUGACUGCUAAUACCGGAUGUGCCUUUGGGUGAAAGAUUUAUUGCCUGAAAAAGAGCUCGCGUCAGAUUAGCUAGUAGGUGGUGUAAGAGACUACCUAGGCUCCGAUCUGUAGCUGGUCUGAGAGGAAGAUCAGCCACACUGGAACUGAGACACGGUCCAGACUCCUGCCGGAAGCAGCAGUUGGGAAUUUUCCGCAAGGGGCGAAAGCCUGACGGAGCAAUACCGCGUGAGAGACGAAGGCUUUUGGGUCGUUAACCUCUUUUCUCAAGGAAGAUGAUGACGGUACUUGAGGAAUAAGCAUCGGCUAACUCUGUG
Molecule: ribosomal RNA, 432 nt
Filed under: uncultured bacterium
Lineage: Bacteria
Description: partial 16S ribosomal RNA
Rfam family: Bacterial small subunit ribosomal RNA
Source: RNAcentral